GGUUCUUGGGAAAGAUAGUAGGGGUUGCAUGAAGGCAAUGGGUGCAGGUGUCAGCAAAAGUUCUCUUAAGGCCAUAACUCCACUGCUGAAGAUGUAUGAAAAAGAGGCUCAGGCGAUUGCUGAAUGGAAACAACAAGUAGAUGGGAUGUUUGAUAGCCUUCAAGCUCAAAUAGUGCAACUCAACCGUGCAGUUCAAACAGGAUCAGGUGGGAGACCGCCCAUACCUGUUGGUUCAAGGUCACAAAUGCAAGUGGAAGUUAACACGGUACGCUUUUAAAUUGUAAUAUUAUUUGAUGCCACCAAGUUAUCCUUAUCCCAUGCAUUAGAGUUCACUAGAUCAUGGAUAAUAACUGUUUGUAAGUUGUUUGUACAAAUUUGUUAAUAUUAUUGGCUUUCAAUGGCGAUGAUUGUUUUGUAAACAAACUACCACAAUAUUGUUUCAGGAGGUUAGUUAGUUUGGUGGUUGUCCUUUCCAAGUCGUCGCAAAGGGAAGGGUGACAGAUGUUAAUCCAAACUCCAAGUGGGGUGCAAGAUGCCUAGGAGAAGGAAAUUUCUUAGUUUACAUUGAGUGUACGUUUAUACCACACGCUAUGUUGCCAUGCCCUCAUGAUGAAUGGUGUACGACUUUGGGACAAAUUGGGCAGGGAUUUGUAAUUUGGCCGAAGAUGUGCCUCGAGUUUCAUCACUAGCAAGGUCAGUUGUUAAUUAUACGCAUGACAUGGUGAUCAUCUCUUGUACUUACAGUUUUUCUAUUUACUACUCAGUUUCUCACUUUUGACUUGAAUAGGCUUUUAGAAGAAUUCCUAGGUCUUAAUAAAUUUUAAUUCUUGAUUAAAAUUUAUUUCAUAUAAAGCCACUGAACAGAUUUGUCAAAAAUCAUGAUCAUCAGCAUGUUCUUGAAUAUAGAAUUGAUUUGUUUACUAUGUGCUUCAUGAGUGUUGUGAUGUUAGAUACCUAGAGAUCACAAUACCUUGUUUCCAUGAAUACAUUAUAUAGAAACACUCUUGCGACUACAUAAAGAUUCAGUACAUACAUCAACAUCUGCAAGUUAGUUAUCUGUCUUCUUAGUGGAGUACAAACAACACAGUUAGCAGUUUUCUUACAAUUGAAGUGACAAUUCUUUUUAAUAUCUUUCAUGAGUUUCAUCUACUUGAUAACCCAAUAUUUGUGCAAUAUAACAAUAGUAAAGCAAACAAUAAAGCAGUAAAUAAAUAAGGAACACACGAUAUUUUUAACGUGGUAAAACCCAAUAUGGGAAACGUCCACGGUUGUCCUUGCGACAACAAAUAAAUCCACUAGAUGAAAAGAGAUUUACAAACCUAUCAACUACCUGCAAUCACUGCGAGUUGACACUCCUGGUUAUCUCUAACACCUUGACUUCACCAGAGCACCUUGAUGUACGCACAAGACACUCGACUUCUUGAUGAACACAUAAGAAGACUCGAAGCCGAUCUAUGAAACAAGCUUACACCAGAGUUCCUUGAUGAACACACAAGGAUACUCGACUUCUUGAUGAACACACAAGAAGACUCGAAGCUAAAUCACUAUUCAACAAUGAAGAAGAAGAUGAAUGGGAAGAAGGAAGAAGAAGAUUAAUGGGAAGAAGAGGAUGAGUUCAAUCACCAAAACAACCUAAACCAAAACCUAAACAAACUCCAAGACUAGAGAUGAAUUGGACGGCCAAAGAACUAACUUGUACUUUGGAAGAGAAAUCCUAUUUAUACUUAGGGUUGGAAUACACAGAAAAUGGGCCGAAAUUGACGAAAUCCAUAUUGGACGUACGUACGUCGAAAUAACGUUCGUACGUCUUCACACGAUAAACGCUUGCUGCCUGCUUGGACGUACGAACGUCCUAACAAGGUACGUACGUCCUGAACAAAAACAAUCCUGCUGCCUAACCUGACGUACGUACGCCCUAACUCGGUACGUACGUUCAACACGAUGAAAGUUUGCUGACCUUAGGGACGUGAAGACAAGGAGUCGAGAUGACGUGCGUACAACAAGGUUUUUCCUAACAAUGUAAUCAAGGCGAGAUAACCAAGGACGACCAAUGUCACAAAAUUGAUGUCAAACAAACUUAGUGCCGGUUUCAAUCUCCCCCUUUGACAUUGAUUUUGUGACAAAAACCUAUGACUCUAAUAGCACUUAUAAAACGUGCUUACAAACCCAAACCAUGGCAUUUAUAAAACAUGCCUACAAAAACACUCAAGGUAGAACACAUACCGAGUCACCAAUUCUUGAUAUCCAGCUUGAGCAAGAUGCUUUAACCAUGAGAGACCAAACGGAAGCAACUACGAAUUUCCGAAGCAAUCAACAGAAGCUCUUUUGAGCAACUUCCCCAUACUGCAUGAGCUCCAAAGUUUGACACUUGAGCUCGCCCAUACGUGUAGCCUACCUGAAACAUGACCCAAAAAUAUCCUAACAACAAAGAGACAAUUGUUAGUAAUUAGAGUCAUAAAUCUCCCCCCUUUUGUCACAACAAGUGAACAAUAGAAUCAAGAAACAAAAGAAACAAAAAGCAAGAAACAAACUUAACCAAGUGAAAAAACCAACACUAAACAAUCAAGACAAAACAGAAAUAAAACCUAUCCGAACUCUUAACCAAACAAGUAAUAACCAAACAUAGGAAUCCAUAAACAUAAGAAACAUUAAAGACAAAACAUAAAACUGAAGUUAACGAAUUCGAAAAACUCGUUCCCAAUGACCUAUAGGAAGCUUGGAGAAAUAAGCUUCCGCACGAGCCGAAGAUCUAUUCCACCGAGCUAUCACAUGAUCAUCAUAAUCCUCCAGCCAUUCACUUAUACAAAAUAACUCCUCGAUUCUGCUGUCCAAACCACAAUCAGUGAGAGGAGCAGCAAGUCCUGAAACUUUCGGGUAUCCAACCAACUCCAAGAUGUGAUUCUGAAGAUGUCCCGGUAAUCUCUCCCAAUGGUUGACAUGAACCACGCACGGAUUAAGAAAAGGUGGAUGAAUAUAGUCAUACCCAUGGGGAACACGACAUAAUCGACAAACCUUUGCAUUGUUUUUGUAUUCCAUCACCAUAAACGACACAUAACCAACAGCCGGAACAAAUACACCAUGAAGUUCAUAUUCUGCCAUUGAAAAUUCUGAAAAACAAAAAGAGAACUAGAAGGAGGUAAGAAGACACAAUAGGAGUAAACCCCCUUAUAUAUAUAGGGAAAACAAAAAAUAAGCCUAACUUGGACCCAAUUAGGAAGAUCCAUUACCUAAGUAGCAGGAAUUUACUAUAAAAUAGAAAGAACCUAGAACUAAUAACAAACUAGCAAUAUCCAAGCACAUACUCAACAUCUAAAUGUAGAAACAAAGCACACCUAAAGGCAAGGCAUAUGGGAAAGAUGCACCCAGAACAAAGAAACCAAACAAGGAUAUUUGAAACACACAAAGAAAGUCAUUUUCACAGCUCACUCACAAACCAUAAUAAGAAGAUAAAAAGGAAAAGAACCGAUGUACCAUAGAAGUGAAGAUGAACACAUCAUGAACUUCCAAAAACAGUAGCCAAUCCCAAUCCGUAAAAAAAUAAGAGGCAAUAUGUUGGGAUAAACAAAAGAUUGAACAAUUAAGAGAAUUGAAGUGCAUCAUAAACUAAACCUCGGUGUGUGUAGAUGCAAUGCAAUGCAUAAAGAGAGAGAAAGUUCACCACUAGAACACACCCUUUGAAGACCUAGAAUAUAGAACCAUCAACAAGAGACAUACGAUUAGCAAGUUAGCUUAGAAGAAACAAACUUCAAUCCCCUUUGAAACAAACAAUAUGAGUGGAAGACAAACGAAUAUAAAUAUGAACUUUCAAACAAAAACCAAGAUAUCCAAAAGGCAAAGGAAUAUAAACUUUGUAUGCCGUACAUAAAAAAAAGGAACAACGAACAUGCGCUUGGAUUAUCAUUUUGCCGCAUGUGGUGGAGUUUAGUCUACAUCUUUCAAUGUCAUUCCCGUGUGGGAGGGACUAAUGCCUCCAUCUUUUCAAUUACACGAGGGUAGGGUGUAGCCUACAUCUUUUUGACAAACACAAACUCAAGAAGUGCAACACCAUGAUAACGUGCAACACAAGAACUAACAUCUCUUGAGUGCAUCCGUCAGAGCAUGACCCUCACAACCCCAACGGGUUCUUAGCCAACUGACAUUGCUCUUAAGACAAUCAAAUGGCUGGGGAUAAGGUGAGUCAUUGACCACUAACAAGAGUUGUAAGAGGAAGAUAAGAAUGCUCAAUAACACGAACAACAAGAUGAACAUUACCCAAAACAGAGGAGCGAUAGCUCAAGUGAACAUAAAUACUCGAGAGAUGGAGAAGUUCUAUGAGCUCAAAGAAUAUGUAAGUGGUUUCCAAAAACUCCCAUCAUGCAAGAAUGCAGUGCACUGUGCAAACAAGCGAGGAAAAAUGCAUGAUACAUACCAAAACAUACUUAAAAGUUCAGAAAGAGAAAAACACCCAAACAUAUUGCAACUUAUUUAAGACAAUUGAAUUAAACCAAUAUCUCAGAAAAAAUGCAUCCAACAGCACAUACAUGGAAUAAAUAAAUAAAACAAAAAAUAGAAGGAAUAACCAACAACCCUUUUUUUUUUUUAUUAACAAUGUAUUCAGACAUGCAACAUGAUCUGCAGGCUAAACAAACAAAGCAUAAAAAAUAGAAACACUAACCAAAUAGCCUAUGUGGUUAGAGAAAUAUGCAAUUCAAAUAACACAAGGCUAGAAACAAACUACAUCAUCCCAAAUAUGGGACACCAUCAGACUUUUGCAAGUCCAGAAAAACCUGCAACUUAUCCUUUCUUACCCAUACUUGUUUAAUACUAGGCGUGCACACCUUGGGAGUUGAAAAGAUAUAAGAUUUCCCCUUAACAAGCUUUUCAAUAGACUUGUCCUUAACUAAUUCCACCUUAGUCUUUGACUUCCUUUUGUUGGAGUGCCUGUUUUUCUUAAACCUAUGAGAAGAAGCAUUAAAAGUCUGAGGUCUAGAAAAUGCACAAGAAGGAACAUAAGAAUCAACAUGAUUAUAACGAUGAGGAACACGAGAAUAGGAUGCAACAUGUUGAUUAAAAUCCCAACAAAAGAUAUUCAAAUGACCAACUCUACCACAAUAAGAACAAUGAAAAAUAUUAGACUUACUCAAGGAAUUCUUAUAAGGAGAUGUGGUAGUAGAAGAUGAAACAUGUAUGUCACCAUUGUAUUUGUGACAUGGUGCCUUAACAAGACCUGUACCUCCACUAUGAGAACAGGAUGUCUUACCAGCAAAAACACCCGUACCAUUAGCCUUAGACUUAAACUUUUUGCCAGAAACAUGCUGAAAAGUAUUAGUAUUAAGUCUAGUCUCAAUAGGUGGGGUAGGCAAAAGGGCAGGCAAACUAGAUUUUACAGGAGUAAUCACACUAGAUGAACUAGUAGAACUAGUAAUAGGAGAAUCAAAUCUAGUUUUGUCCAAAACCUGCAAUUGGAGUUGAGUAGACGUUAAAUCGUUCUUUGUUACCUCAUACUCCACCAAUAGAGAAUUGUAUUUCUCAUCGACCUCCUGAUUGGCCUUCUCUAAAGCUGCAAUUCUACAUAACAAGUCAAGUUUUUCUUUGUCAAAUAAUUGAGAAAUAGAAAUUGUAUCAUCUGCAGCACAAGAAAUUUGUUUUUCAAGAAUCUCAAUUUUAUCCUGGAAAGAAAGAUUAGCCUUUUCCAAAUUUUCAAUUUUGGAUUCAUAAACUUCCCCUUGAAGCAUAUAGUCCUCUGCACAAUGUCUGAGUCGUUGUUCUAGAGAAUCAACCUUAGUCUGCAAAACACCAUUAUCUUCAAAACAAACAUUAUCAGAAAUAGUAGACACAUUACGAUUAGCUUUAUUAAAUUUUUCCUGCAAAUCAAUAUUAGCUUUUUGUAAUCUUUCACAUUCUUUUGCAGAAAGUCUGUAAAGAAGAGCCCAAUCACUAUUGCUAACAACAUACAAAUUAUCAUCCUUUUCAAAAUCAGAUUUUGGUUUUGUAGAUUUAGACGAUUUAGCAAUAAAAUUAUUAUAACCAGACUCAUGAACCAUUAUUGCACUCAUAGGAUCUACGCGUGAGCCAUUACGCUCCAUAACAAGCGCCCUGCUCUGAUACCAAUUGAUAACCCAAUAUUUGUGCAAUAUAACAAUAGUAAAGCAAACAAUAAAGCAGUAAAUAAAUAAGGAACACACGAUAUUUUUAACGUGGUAAAACCCAAUAUGAGAAACGUCCACGGUUGUCCUUGCGACAACAAAUAAAUCCACUAGAUGAAAAGAGAUUUACAAACCUAUCAACUACCUGCAAUCACUGCGAGUUGACACUCCUGGUUAUAUCUAACACCUUGACUUCACCAGAGCACCUUGAUGUACGCACAAGACACUCGACUUCUUGAUGAACACACAAGAUGCAUCGAAGCUAAAUCAAUAUAAACAAUAAUGAAGAAGAAGAUGAAUGGGAAGAAAGAAGAAGAAGAUUAAUGGGAAGAAGAGGAUGAGUUCAAUCACCAAAACAACCUAAACCAAAACCUAAACAAACUCCAAGACUAGAGAUGAAUUGGACGGCCAAAGAACUAACUUGUACUUUGGAAGAGAAAUCCUAUUUAUACUUAGGGUUGGAAUACACAGAAAAUGGGCCGAAAUUGACGAAAUCCAUAUUGGACGUACGUACGUCGAAAUAACGUUCGUACGUCUUCACACGAUAAACGCUUGCUGCCUUCUUGGACGUACGAACGUCCUAACAAGGUACGUACGUCCUGAACAAAAACAAUCCUGCUGCCUAACCUGACGUACGUACGCCCUAACUCGGUACGUACGUUCAACACGAUGAAAGUUUGCUGACCUUAGGGAUGUGAAGACAAGGAGUCGAGACGCGCGUACAACAAAGUUUUUCUUAACAAUGUAAUCAAGGCGAGAUAACCAAGGACGACCAAUGUCACAAAAUUGAUGUCAAACAAACUUAGUGCCGGUUUCACUACUUACGCAUUAGUUUUUAUUUUAUUUUUUUUGUGCUGUCAAAGUCAAUUUCAGAAUGAAGUAGGUCCAGUAACCCGACCCUAACAAUUUCUCACUUUAAGAGUUAACCUUAGCCUUCUCUUUAGGGAGUCUCGACCCUCAGAAAAAUAAACAUGUCUCAUAAUAUGCUAAUAAACCUUAAGGGAGUCUCGACCCUAACAAAAGACACAUGGAAAACUGGUGUGACGAUAUGUCUCUAGCAACCUCAGUGGUGAAUAAUCAUGUGACUUUUGUUGAACGCAAAUGAAGAAGAUCAAGUCUUCAAAUCUGACUCUGUGUGUGUGUGUGUUUGGGGGUGGAGUGGGGGAUUGUUGUGUUCUUAGUUGUUUAUCUUUAUAUGGUAAUUUUUUUCCCUGUUUGCUGGGCGGGUCUGAGUCUCUUUCUCUUGGCUUGUAAGUUCUAUUGUGUAAAGUUUUAUCUAGCCAAAGACAAAAAUUAGAAACAGAGGACACAAAUACAAAUAUUUGAAGAUAAAUAUCACCAUAAGUAUGUUGUCCCAAUUGACAAUCAGCUUUUGAAAUGUUUAUUCUUUUUUCAUCGACUUCCUAAUUAUCCCAGUAAUUAAUUAUGGAACAGAAAAGUAGUUUUUUUUUGAAAUGUUUAUUCUUUUUUCAUCGGCAUCUUUACACUGUAUAUCUUAAUUAUCCUGUAUUUUUGAGAAGAUAGAGUAAAAUAUUCUCUCUUUUGGAAUUGGCAUCUGCAGGCAGUACUGAAAAUGGCUUGUCCUCAUGCAAGCCAAAGAACUAAUGAAGCUUGCAGACAUGGGAGUGUUGGCAGCAGCAACAACAGUGAGCUCAAGUUUUCUGUCUUACAGAUGUUACUACUUUGAGUCAGUGUCUAUUUGUCGAUCCAAGGGAAUGGUCUAUGACUGAGCCAUGUUGGGUAACAGUUUGUUUGCCCAUUAUACCCUUAAUUCAAACAGUUUGUCUAAACCCCCCCAAAAAUCGUUAACAUAACUUAUUUGACAGAAGUUAAGUAGCCGUUUGGAUUACAAUUUUUAAAUUUUGUUAAUGAUUUUUUGGGGGGUUUAGACAAACUGACAGAAGUUAAGGGUAUAAUGGGCAGACAAACUAUGAAUGGACGGAAACUUAGGGGGUGCUUAACAGAAGGGGGUUUACGCCAAGCUUGGACAACAUUAGGGGGUUCUUGCCAAACCCGGUCAAAACUU
This 8151-nucleotide long non-coding RNA is filed under the name Aquilegia coerulea. Its description in RNAcentral is "long non-coding RNA (ACOE_LNC002046)". Lineage: Eukaryota; Viridiplantae; Streptophyta; Magnoliopsida; Ranunculales; Ranunculaceae. The record is from RNAcentral.